This is a long non-coding RNA of Eriocheir sinensis (Chinese mitten crab), 2131 nucleotides long. RefSeq lists it as uncharacterized. The transcript is spliced from 3 exons. NCBI's taxonomy places the organism in Eukaryota, Metazoa, Arthropoda, Malacostraca, Decapoda, Varunidae. The record is from RefSeq and is a predicted model, not a curated record.
AAACAUUGAGGUGGAGAAGAGGCUGCUGGGGAGCUUGUCACUUAAGGUAGAGGAAAAUUAAGUGCUGAAAUAACGAUGGGAUGGGAGGUAAGAUGAGACACAGUAACAGAAAAUGUGUUUGUAAGAGUUAUGAAGGGUCGGGAUGAUUGGGAGCUUGUCACUUAAGGUAGAGGAAAAUUAAGUGCUGAAAUAACGAUGGGAUGGGAGGUAAGAUGAAACACAGUAACAGAAAAUGUGUUUGUAAGAGUUAUGAAGGGUCGGGAUGAUUGGGAGCUUGUCACUUAAGGUAGAGGACAAUUAACUACUGAAAUAACUAUGAGAUGGGAGGUAAGAUGAGACACAGUAACAGAAAAUGUGUUUGUAAGAGUUAUGAAGGGUUGGGAUGAGCUCGCAACAUCACAGUGAAUGGGGAUGAUUGGGAGCUUGUCACUUAAGGUAAAGGACAAUUAACUACUGAAAUAACUAUGAUAUAUAAGGCAAGAUGAAACAAUAUACUACAGUCUGUUCACUCAAGUCUGCCCCAAGCUGACGACAUAAAUUUAAGCAUGUUCGUAAGCACAGUACAGAUUAGCAGAAAGUGUUGCGUGAGAAACACAAACAGAGGUUCAAAGAAAAUUUGGAACCCACAGCAAUAGCCAAUCAGCACUCGGCUUGCAAACAGGCUAAGGUAUAUGUUGUCAGCUUGGGUCGGACUUAACCUGGUAGCAGCGACGGGCCAAAUUUGUGGCUUUACCGUGUAGCAGCGACGGGCCAAAUUUGUGGCUUUACCAUGUAGCAGCGACGGGCCAAAUUUGUGGCUUUACCGUGUAGCAGCAACGGGCCAAAUUUGUGGCUUUACCGUGUAGCAGCGACGGGCCAAAUUUGUGCCAUGAUAUAAACCCCCCAAAAUAGAUGAUGCAUAAUCUGAUCACAAAUGCUUUGAUAUAUAUUAUGAAAUGGUUUGUGUGAGGGGUGAUUUUUUCUCAUUUUUCUCGCUUAGAGGGACCAUUAAGAAACAUGGUCCCCGCUGCUACCGGGUUAAGUGAACAGAUUAACAGACUAACAAAUGAUGAUAUGAAAAAGAAAAUGUAUUAGUAUGAAUUAUGAAGAGGCGAAAUGACCCCACAACAUCGCAGUGAAUGAAGACUUAGGUGGUAUAACUAACCUACAGCUUAUCCAUGUAUCAACCGAUCUGUGAGUCUGGAUAAAACUACAAUGCACUCCCUCAAAGACCUGUCCUGGAGUGGGUUGGCAUGGCAGAGGAGAGUUUGAUUCUCCUUGUUCAAACACUCCUUUUUUGCAUCAUUAACAGACUUAUCUAUCUAUCUAUCAAGCUAUCUGUGAGUCUAGCCAGAACUACAAUGCACUCCCUCAAAGACCUUUCCUGGAGUGGGUUGGCAUGGCGGAGGAGAGAGUUCGAUCCUCCCUGUUCAAACACUCCUUUUUUGCAAUAUUAACAGACUUAUCUAUCUAUCAACCAAUCUGUGAGUCUGGAUAAAACUACAAUGCACUCCCUCAAAGACCUUUCCUGGAGUGGGUUGGCGGAGGAGAGAGUUCGAUCCUCCCUGUUCAAACACUCCUUUUUUGCAUCAUUAACAGACUUAUCUUAUCUAUCUGUCUACCGAUCUGUGAGUCUGGCUAGAACUACAAUAUGCUCAUCCCUCAAAGACCUGUCCUGGAGUGGGUUGGCAUGGCGGAGGAGAGAGUUCAAUCCUCCUUGUUCAAACACUCCUUUUUUGCAUCAUUAACAGACUUAUCUAUCUGUCUACCGAUCUGUGAGUCUGGAUAAAACUACAAUAUGCUCAUCCCUCAAAGACCUUUCCUGGAGUGGGUUGGCAUGGCGGAGGAGAGAGUUCAAUCCUCCCUGUUCAAACACUCCUUUUUUGCAUCAUUAACAGACUCAUCUUAUUCUAUCUCUCUACCAAUCUGUGAGUCUGGAUAAAACUACAAUGCACUCCCUCAAAGACCUUUCCUGGAGUGGGUUGGCGGAGGAGAGAGUUCGAUUCUCCCUGUUCAAACACUCCUUUUUUGCAUCAUUAACAGACUUAUCUAUCUGUCUACCGAUCUGUGAGUCUGGCUAAAACUACAAUGCACUCCCUCAAAGACCUUUCCUGGAGUGGGUUGGCGGAGGAGAGAGUUUGAUUCUCCCUGU